CACAGGUGGGCGAGAUGAGUAUUCUAAGGCGCUUGAGAGAACUCGGGAGAAGGAACUCGGCAAAUUGGUACCGUAACUUCGGGAUAAGGUACGCCCUUGUAGCUUGACUGGCCUGCGCCAGGAGGGUGAAGGGGUUGCAAUAAACUGGUGGCUGCGACUGUUUAAUAAAAACACAGCACUCUGCAAACACGAAAGUGGACGUAUAGGGUGUGACGCCUGCCCGGUGCCGGAAGAUUAAAUGAUGGGGUGCAAGCUCUUGAUUGAAGUCCCGGUAAACGGCGGCCGUAACUAUAACGGUCCUAAGGUAGCGAAAUUCCUUGUCGGGUAAGUUCCGACCUGCACGAAUGGCGUAACGAUGGCCACACUGUCUCCUCCCGAGACUCAGCGAAGUUGAAGUGUUUGUGAUGAUGCAAUCUACCCGCGGCUAGACGGAAAGACCCCAUGAACCUUUACUGUAGCUUUGCAUUGGACUUUGAACCGAUCUGUGUAGGAUAGGUGGGAGGCUAUGAAACCGGAACGCUAGUUUCGGUGGAGCCGUCCUUGAAAUACCACCCUGGUUUGUUUGAGGUUCUAACCUUGGCCCGUGAUCCGGGUCGGGGACAGUGCAUGGUAGGCAGUUUGACUGGGGCGGUCUCCUCCCAAAGCGUAACGGAGGAGUACGAAGGUACGCUAGGUACGGUCGGAAAUCGUGCUGAUAGUGCAAUGGCAUAAGCGUGCUUAACUGCGAGACCGACAAGUCGAGCAGGUGCGAAAGCAGGUCAUAGUGAUCCGGUGGUUCUGUAUGGAAGGGCCAUCGCUCAACGGAUAAAAGGUACUCUGGGGAUAACAGGCUGAUACCGCCCAAGAGUUCAUAUCGACGGCGGUGUUUGGCACCUCGAUGUCGGCUCAUCUCAUCCUGGGGCUGUAGCCGGUCCCAAGGGUAUGGCUGUUCGCCAUUUAAAGAGGUACGUGAGCUGGGUUUAAAACGUCGUGAGACAGUUUGGUCCCUAUCUGCCGUGGGCGUUGGAUAUUUGAAGGGGGCUGCUCCUAGUACGAGAGGACCGGAGUGGACGAACCUCUGGUGUACCGGUUGUCACGCCAGUGGCAUCGCCGGGUAGCUAUGUUCGGAAGAGAUAACCGCUGAAAGCAUCUAAGCGGGAAACUCGCCUUAAGAUGAGAUAUCCCUGGGGACUAGAUCCCCUUGAAGGGUCGUUCGAGACCAGGACGUUGAUAGGUCAGGUGUGUAAGCGCAGUAAUGCGUUCAGCUAACUGAUACUAAUUGCCCGUAAGGCUUGAUCCU
Molecule: ribosomal RNA, 1279 nt
Filed under: Burkholderia cepacia
Lineage: Bacteria; Pseudomonadati; Pseudomonadota; Betaproteobacteria; Burkholderiales; Burkholderiaceae
Also listed under: 2 other names
Description: partial 23S ribosomal RNA
Rfam family: Bacterial large subunit ribosomal RNA
Source: RNAcentral